Non-coding RNA from Talaromyces stipitatus ATCC 10500, 84 nucleotides. NCBI's taxonomy places the organism in Eukaryota, Fungi, Ascomycota, Eurotiomycetes, Eurotiales, Trichocomaceae. The record is from the annotation of a RefSeq genome assembly.
UCCGAAAUGGUGUAAAGGUAACAUCGCCGUCUCUCAUCUACCAAGAUAUCACGGCAGCUCGGGGUUCGAUUCCCCGUUUCGGAG